AUGAAAUUAGCAUGCAAGUCUGGGACGAGCAUCCUUAGAAACCACAUUGGCGAGUCAUGCCCCAAAAUCGAUGAUGAGUCCAGAAAUAGGUUUCUUGCAACAAUUAAGAAAAAACCAUCAGAUGUGGGGUUUGUUUUCGAUCCUCAGAGAAGCCGUCAGCUCAUGAUCAAAUAUUGCAUCCACGCCGAGGUUGCAUUCAGGAAGUUUGACGAUCCUUACUUUGAAGAGUGGAUGGACUCGAUGCAGCCCACCUUUAAAGUCAUUCGGCGCCAGACUGUUCGCAAUGAUAGAACACCAACAGCCCGUCUUUUUUUGCACAUGGUGUUGUGCAUCCGCGACGCGCUAAGGGACCCUCAGUGGAGCACUAGUGGCACUAUGUCAAACCUUGUCUAUGCCAUGGGCCAAAAGUUUGAUAAAUACUGGAAAGAGUCAAAACUGAAUGUUGCAGUUUUCAUCGCAACGGUGUUAGAUCCAACCAAGAAAUCUGACUUCUUGGAAUUCUCCUUUGAAAAUCUAAAUCUUCAUCAUGUUGCCGAGAGGUUCCGGUCUACUAGUAUCAAGAAGAAAGCCGGGGUAGAAGAAACCAUUCAGAAAAGGGAGAUGGAUGUCCAGCAACUAUGUAAAAUGCAUUCUGUAGCUGAGUAA
RNAcentral lists this ribosomal RNA (645 nucleotides) under Triticum aestivum (bread wheat). RNAcentral describes it as "partial small subunit ribosomal RNA". Lineage: Eukaryota; Viridiplantae; Streptophyta; Magnoliopsida; Poales; Poaceae. The record is from RNAcentral.